This 649-nucleotide ribosomal RNA is filed under the name uncultured Cyphobasidiales. RNAcentral's name for it is "SSU rRNA". It matches the Rfam family "Eukaryotic small subunit ribosomal RNA", at positions 466 to 1118 of the family's 1831-position model. The record is from RNAcentral. Lineage: Eukaryota; Fungi; Basidiomycota; Cystobasidiomycetes; Cyphobasidiales.
AGUGACAAUAAAUAACAAUAUAGGGCUCUUUUGGGUCUUAUAAUUGGAAUGAGUACAAUUUAAAUCCCUUAACGAGGAUCAAUUGGAGGGCAAGUCUGGUGCCAGCAGCCGCGGUAAUUCCAGCUCCAAUAGCGUAUAUUAAAGUUGUUGCCGUUAAAAAGCUCGUAGUCGAACUUCGGCCUUUGCCGCCCGGUCCGCCUAUUUGGGUGUGUACUGGAGCGGUGGAGGCUUACCUCGUGGUGAGCAAUCAUACCCUUCACUGGGCGUGGUUGGGAACCAUGAUUUUUACUUUGAAAAAAUUAGAGUGUUCAAAGCAGGCUUACGCCCGAAUACAUUACCAUGGAAUAAUAAAAUAGGACGUGCGGUUCUAUUUUGUUGGUUUCUAGGAUCGCCGUAAUGAUUAAUAGGGAUAGUUGGGGGCAUUCGUAUUCAAUUGCUAGAGGUGAAAUUCUUGGAUUUAUUGAAGACGAACUACUGCGAAAGCAUUUGCCAAGGAUGUUUUCAUUGAUCAAGAACGAAGGUUAGGGGAUCGAAAACGAUCAGAUACCGUUGUAGUCUUAACAGUAAACGAUGCCGACUAGGGAUCGGACGAGGANUUUUAAUGACUCGUUCGGCACCUGAAGAGAAAUCUUUAAGUCUAGGUUCGGGG